This 472-nucleotide ribosomal RNA is filed under the name uncultured bacterium. Its description in RNAcentral is "bacterial SSU rRNA". It matches the Rfam family "Bacterial small subunit ribosomal RNA", at positions 104 to 590 of the family's 1533-position model. The record is from RNAcentral.
GGGUGCGUAACGCGUGAGCAACCUGCCCGUCACGGGGGGAUAACCGGUGGAAACGCCGACUAAUAUCCCAUGGUUUCCGUUGGGGGCAUCCCCGGCGGAAUAAAGGCUUCGGCCGGUGACGGAUGGGCUCGCGUGACAUUAGGCAGUAGGCGGGGUAACGGCCCACCUAACCUACGAUGUCUAGGGGUUCUGAGAGGAAGGUCCCCCACACUGGAACUGAGACACGGUCCAGACUCCUACGGGAGGCAGCAGUGAGGAAUAUUGGGCAAUGGGCGCAAGCCUGACCCAGCAACGCCGCGUGAAGGAAGAAGGCUUUCGGGUUGUAAACUUCUUUUGUCAGGGACGAGUAGAAGACGGUACCUGACGAAUAAGCCACGGCUAACUACGUGCCAGCAGCCGCGGUAAUACGUAGGUGGCAAGCGUUGUCCGGAUUUACUGGGUGUAAAGGGCGUGUAGCCGGGAGGGCAAGUCA